UCCCUCAAAACAUACGUUUUAGCCCCUGAAUUUAAGCAUAUUAAUAAGCGGAGGAAAAGAAACUAACCAGG
RNAcentral lists this ribosomal RNA (71 nucleotides) under Phlebotomus papatasi. Its description in RNAcentral is "partial 28S ribosomal RNA". Lineage: Eukaryota; Metazoa; Arthropoda; Insecta; Diptera; Psychodidae. The record is from RNAcentral.